This 1134-nucleotide ribosomal RNA is filed under the name Oerskovia paurometabola. Its description in RNAcentral is "bacterial SSU rRNA". It matches the Rfam family "Bacterial small subunit ribosomal RNA", at positions 148 to 1296 of the family's 1533-position model. Lineage: Bacteria; Bacillati; Actinomycetota; Actinomycetes; Micrococcales; Cellulomonadaceae. The record is from RNAcentral.
CCUUGGAAACGAGGUCUAAUACUGGAUACGAGACGCCCCUGCAUGGGGAGUGUCUGGAAAGAUUUAUCGGUCUGGGAUGGACUCGCGGCCUAUCAGCUUGUUGGUGGGGUAAUGGCCUACCAAGGCGACGACGGGUAGCCGGCCUGAGAGGGCGACCGGCCACACUGGGACUGAGACACGGCCCAGACUCCUACGGGAGGCAGCAGUGGGGAAUAUUGCACAAUGGGCGAAAGCCUGAUGCAGCGACGCCGCGUGAGGGAUGAAGGCCUUCGGGUUGUAAACCUCUUUCAGCAGGGAAGAAGCGCAAGUGACGGUACCUGCAGAAGAAGCGCCGGCUAACUACGUGCCAGCAGCCGCGGUAAUACGUAGGGCGCAAGCGUUGUCCGGAAUUAUUGGGCGUAAAGAGCUCGUAGGCGGUUUGUCGCGUCUGGUGUGAAAACUCAAGGCUCAACCUUGAGCUUGCAUCGGGUACGGGCAGACUAGAGUGCGGUAGGGGUGACUGGAAUUCCUGGUGUAGCGGUGGAAUGCGCAGAUAUCAGGAGGAACACCGAUGGCGAAGGCAGGUCACUGGGCCGCAACUGACGCUGAGGAGCGAAAGCAUGGGGAGCGAACAGGAUUAGAUACCCUGGUAGUCCAUGCCGUAAACGUUGGGCACUAGGUGUGGGGCUCAUUCCACGAGUUCCGUGCCGCAGCAAACGCAUUAAGUGCCCCGCCUGGGGAGUACGGCCGCAAGGCUAAAACUCAAAGGAAUUGACGGGGGCCCGCACAAGCGGCGGAGCAUGCGGAUUAAUUCGAUGCAACGCGAAGAACCUUACCAAGGCUUGACAUACACCGGAAACUUCCAGAGAUGGUUGCCCCGCAAGGUCGGUGUACAGGUGGUGCAUGGUUGUCGUCAGCUCGUGUCGUGAGAUGUUGGGUUAAGUCCCGCAACGAGCGCAACCCUCGUCUUAUGUUGCCAGCACGUCAUGGUGGGGACUCAUAAGAGACUGCCGGGGUCAACUCGGAGGAAGGUGGGGAUGACGUCAAAUCAUCAUGCCCCUUAUGUCUUGGGCUUCACGCAUGCUACAAUGGCCGGUACAAAGGGCUGCGAUACCGCGAGGUGGAGCGAAUCCCAAAAAGCCGGUCUCAGUUCGG